Molecule: ribosomal RNA, 1306 nt
Filed under: uncultured bacterium
Lineage: Bacteria
Description: bacterial SSU rRNA
Rfam family: Bacterial small subunit ribosomal RNA
Source: RNAcentral
GAUGAACGCUAGCGAUAGGCUUAACACAUGCAAGUCGAGGGGCAGCGGGGGCAGCAAUGCCUGCCGGCGACCGGCGGACGGGUGAGUAACACGUAUGCAACCUGCCCAUAACUUGGGGAUAGCCUUCCGAAAGGGAGAUUAAUACCCGAUGAGACAGGGAUAUCACAUGAUAAUAUUUGUUAAAGAUUUAUCGGUUAUGGAUGGGCAUGCGCUGGAUUAGGUAGUUGGUGUAGGUAACGGCUCACCAAGCCUGCGAUCCAUAGGGGCACUGAGAGGUUUACCCCCCACACUGGUACUGAGACACGGACCAGACUCCCACGGGAGGCAGCAGUGAGGAAUAUUGGUCAAUGGUCGAGAGACUGAACCAGCCAAAUCGCGUGAAGGAAGACGGUAUUAUGUAUUGUAAACUUCUUUUGCAGGGGAGUAAAGUGAGGGAUGUAUCCUUUAUUGUAGGUACCUUGCGAAUAAGCAUCGGCUAACUCCGUGCCAGCAGCCGCGGUAAUACGGAGGAUGCGAGCGUUAUCCGGAUUUAUUGGGUUUAAAGGGUGCGUAGGCGGAACGGUCAGUCAGCGGUGAAAAGUACCUGCUUCACAGGUACACUGCCGUUGAAACUGCCGUCCUUGAGUGUAGACGAGGCAGGCGGAAUUCGUAGUGUAGCGGUGAAAUGCUUAGAUAUUACGAAGAACCCCGAUAGCGCAGGCAGCUUGCCAGGCUACCACUGACACUGAAGCACGAAAGUGUGGGAAUCAAACAGGAUUAGAUACCCUGGUAGUCCACACAGUAAACGAUGAUUACUCGCUGUUUGCGAUAUACGGCAAGCGGCUUAGCGAAAGCGAUAAGUAAUCCACCUGGGGAGUACGCCGGCAACGGUGAAACUCAAAGGAAUUGACGGGGGCCCGCACAAGCGGAGGAACAUGUGGUUUAAUUCGAUGAUACGCGAGGAACCUUACCCGGGCUCGAACGGCUGUUGAAUACAGAUGAAAGUUUGUAGUCGCAAGACAACAGUCGAGGUGCUGCAUGGUUGUCGUCAGCUCGUGCCGUGAGGUGUCGGCUUAAGUGCCAUAACGAGCGCAACCCUUACCGUUAGUUACCAGCAAGUCAAGUUGGGGACUCUGGCGGGACUGCCACCGUAAGGUGAGAGGAAGGUGGGGAUGACGUCAAAUCAGCACGGCCCUUACGUCCGGGGCGACACACGUGUUACAAUGGGGGGGACAAAGAGCAGCUACUUAGCGAUAAGAUGCCAAUCUCUAAACCCUCUCCCAGUUCGGAUCGAAGUCUGCAACCCGACUUCGUGAAGCGGAUUCGC